RNAcentral lists this ribosomal RNA (468 nucleotides) under uncultured bacterium. Its description in RNAcentral is "bacterial SSU rRNA". It matches the Rfam family "Bacterial small subunit ribosomal RNA", at positions 330 to 797 of the family's 1533-position model. The record is from RNAcentral.
UCCAGACUCCUACGGGAGGCAGCAGUGAGGAAUAUUGGUCAAUGGGCGAGAGCCUGAACCAGCCAAGUCGCGUGAAGGAUGACGGCCCUACGGGUUGUAUACUUCUUUUGUCAGGGAGCAAUUGGGUCCACGCGUGGGCUUAGCGAGAGUACCUGAAGAAAAAGCAUCGGCUAACUCCGUGCCAGCAGCCGCGGUAAUACGGAGGAUGCGAGCGUUAUCCGGAUUUAUUGGGUUUAAAGGGUGCGUAGGCGGAAUAUCAAGUCAGCGGUAAAAAGGCGGUGCUCAACGCCGUCGAGCCGUUGAAACUGACGGUCUUGAGUGGGCGAGAAGUAUGCGGAAUGCGUGGUGUAGCGGUGAAAUGCAUAGAUAUCACGCAGAACUCCGAUUGCGAAGGCAGUAUACCGGCGCCCAACUGACGCUGAAGCACGAAAGCGUGGGUAUCGAACAGGAUUAGAUACCCCGGUACUA